This 90-nucleotide transfer RNA is filed under the name Erysiphe necator (grape powdery mildew). It matches the Rfam family "tRNA". From Rfam's summary of the family: Transfer RNA (tRNA) molecules are approximately 80 nucleotides in length. Their secondary structure includes four short double-helical elements and three loops (D, anti-codon, and T loops). Further hydrogen bonds mediate the characteristic L-shaped molecular structure. tRNAs have two regions of fundamental functional importance: the anti-codon, which is responsible for specific mRNA codon recognition, and the 3' end, to which the tRNAs corresponding amino acid is attached (by aminoacyl-tRNA synthetases). tRNAs cope with the degeneracy of the genetic code in two manners: having more than one tRNA (with a specific anti-codon) for a particular amino acid; and 'wobble' base-pairing, i.e. permitting non-standard base-pairing at the 3rd anti-codon position. The record is from Rfam by way of RNAcentral. Lineage: Eukaryota; Fungi; Ascomycota; Leotiomycetes; Helotiales; Erysiphaceae.
GCCUCUUUGGCGCAGUGGUAACGCGUAGCACUUGUACAGCUAAUCACAGUUGAAAUGCUAAGAUCACAGGUUCGAUUCCUGUAGGAGGCA